This 497-nucleotide ribosomal RNA is filed under the name uncultured bacterium. RNAcentral's name for it is "partial 16S ribosomal RNA". It matches the Rfam family "Bacterial small subunit ribosomal RNA", at positions 28 to 507 of the family's 1533-position model. The record is from RNAcentral.
GAUGAACGCUGGCGGCGUGCCUAAUACAUGCAAGUCGAGCGAACAGACGAGGAGCUUGCUCCUUUGACGUUAGCGGCGGACGGGUGAGUAACACGUGGGUAACCUACCUAUAAGACUGGGAUAACUUCGGGAAACCGGAGCUAAUACCGGAUAAUAUUACGAACCGCAUGGUUCGAUAGUGAAAGAUGGCUUUGCUAUCACUUAUAGAUGGACCUGCGCCGUAUUAGCUAGUUGGUAAGGUAACGGCUUACCAAGGCAACGAUACGUAGCCGACCUGAGAGGGUGAUCGGCCACACUGGAACUGAGACACGGUCCAGACUCCUACGGGAGGCAGCAGUAGGGAAUCUUCCGCAAUGGGCGAAAGCCUGACGGAGCAACGCCGCGUGAGUGAUGAAGGUCUUCGGAUCGUAAAACUCUGUGAUUAGGGAAGAACAAACGUGUAAGUAACUGUGCACGUCUUGACGGUACCUAAUCAGAAAGCCACGGCUAACUACGUG